GGUUCAUUGCUGUCUUUCUGUAGCUCUGCCCUGCGUUCCCACCCCACCCCACAAUCAGAAUUUGUGAAUUUAAGAAAAUGGUGACUCCAUUCCUCUUGAUUCUGUUAACUAUCCUCUAUCUAUUUAUCUCAUGUGCUAGGCCGAAAGAAGAUCCCACUUUCUGCUAAGUAAACCAGUCUGAUGAAUAAGGCUUGUAGCUUGCUCCAAAGAGGCAUAUUACAGGACCCCUCUGAGAAAAUUACACGCCAGCUCUGACUGAAAUGUCAUAUGAGUCAUUGAUGAAUGGGGCCUUUAGUGUGCAGUUGAUGGCAAUCAGACUGUCUUUCUGACAGCCCAUAAGUAAAUCAUAAGUCAGCUUGGAAACUUUUUUUUUUUUUAAUGUGCCCUUCAGUUAUGGGCAGCUGUAAAGAGUAAAGGGCAACAGCAUAAUUAUAGGCUUUCAAGGAAUAUAGAAUGGGACAGGGAGGGGGAAUCUUCAUCUCCAGAUUUAGAAGCUUAACAUUGAACCUCUACCUCCAGAAUGGCAUGCAAAUUAUCAUUUCCUGUAGGAUAUUAUUGUAAAUAACGGUAAGUGGUCAGCAAAAAGAGGAAGGGAGGGUGUUUUUUUUAGGGGGGAGCUAGGGCUUUGAUUGAAGCUGAAGAGGCUAUCUUUCCAUCUCAAAUAGAUGCUGAAGUGCUGAUCAGCAUACACAACUGUAAAGGAGACAAUACUUGAGCUAUAAGUGCAGCUUUGUACAAACACACAAAGGCUAUUUCCUUCCUCUCCGCAACUCCUCCCCUGAGCUUUGUGACUGAAUGGAUUAAUGUGAGGUGUGUGUCCUGUAUGUGUGUGUAAAGUAAUUAAGAACGAGGUGUUUGCAAUAAUGAGACACAUGGGGUGGACCAUUUUUUUCUGGCUGGUAUUCAAAAUGCUGCUUAAGGUCAAGUAAAGGGACUUGUACUAUCCAUGGUGUGUUUCAGUCCGUCCCCCCAUUAAACGCUUGAGCUGCUCCUCCAUAGCAUAUAGCAGGGAUGGAGUACUCUUUCUUGAAGCCCAAGGACUAUGCUCCCUUGGAAUGGGGUGCAUUCCAGGGGAAGGGAAGGCCAUAGGCAAAAAUGGAUAAAGCAACAGAUGUGAUACUCAUCUAUGAACAAUAAGCUACAUUUCAACCACUUAAAAGGUCAGAGGCUUGUAGACACACAUCUAUGUUCCAGGGCACAGUGCAGGUACCCAAGGAGGCCAAGGAACAGGACUGGGGUGGGGCCUGAAGAGAAGAGGUGAAGCCUGGGAGAGUAUCAAGGACCAGACAGAGAAGCUUGGACGGUUGCAUUUGUCCAUGUAUGUGUGAGGUUCUGUGCCUGCCUUGCAGGAGAACUGCUGCAUCUAUCUUUCUGAAAAUUGGCAGGCUUAAUCCACUCUUUGCUUGCUAAUUUCAGCCACUUACUUUAAAAGGAAAUAAUGUUAUAGUUGUGUUCAGAUUGCCCAUUAUAGUCAGUGUGGGAAGGAACAGAGCUUCAGAUUUAACAGAUUGGAUUUCAGUCCAAAUAAUGAAUGACACAGGGUCUGAAAGAGUUCAGACUGCUUUCAGACACUACAGGUGAAUCUUGUGAUCAUUGCAUUCCCUGACCAUUGCGUGUGACUUUACACUUGCUUGCACUUGAUCUUAUUUGGCAUUUUAAUGUUUCCCAAAUUUGAAGAAAUUCCUUUGGAGCUCUUCACUGCCCAUUUUUGCUGUCAUCCACAAACUUGACCACUUCACUACUCACCCACUUCACUGGGGCACCCAUUGAUUACAGUCCUCCAUUAUGAGAACUAUCAAUUUUUUCUUACUCUUUCUACUUCUUGUUUUUUAUCCAUAAUACCACUCCACUCAACCUAUGACUACUGAGUGUACUCAGGGAUUUUGGUGAGGACGUGUGUCAGAAUCGAAGAUAGUUUUGAUAAGGGUAGUAAAAAAGUCAAAAUCUGCACAAGGGGAGGGAAAUCCCUACCUAGUAUUGCCUAUAGUGAAAUCUGGGGAAAAUCUGGAAACCCCUAGUCUGUCAAAACAUUCAAGAAUAAUUUAUCGGAGGAAAUAUUCCUCCUUUCCCACAUGCCUACCUAAUUACAUGUCAGGAAUAUUAUCAGUAGUCCAAUAUUAUUCUCCAUAAAUCUUCCAUACUUUAUCAACAUUUGUGUCAACUGAUCUGGGCCAAAUAUUUAGUGAAGAUAGGUUGGUAUAUAUUUUUGCAUAUGACUCUAUGUAUAUAAUUUUAUCUUUCUUCCAUACCAUGGAUGGGAGAGCAUCAUCUGCUGCAUCUGAGGGCAGCAGGCUAGCUUCAGAGGUACAGGGCAGGCUUUGUGAGCAUCCACUGCCCCUCACUGCUCCCCUUCACACAAUCUUCUGCCUGAGUCAGCCACUUCACUCUGACUAAUGCAAGAGCUGGCCCUGCGUGCACGUACAAGUUAUAUUCUAGAGGACAGUUUAGAUAGUUAAAGGGACUAUAAAGAUGCAUCUCUCUUCCUUUCCCCUGCUUUGUGCAUGUUCUAUUUUUCUUCCAGUGCCUUUCAACUCUUUCAAAGUAAUGUGGGCCGGAGGCCGUUAAGUUUGUUGUGGAUGGAGCAACUACAAACAAACAGUGUGCUGAGGCAGCAAACUGUUCAGUUUUGUGUGAGGUGCGCAGUGAUAGAUAGCAAGAAUUAGCCUGCUAAGUGUCGCCUACUGACAGCAUUCAGAAUGGCAGGGCCUGGAAAAACACCUGAGGCCUUCUUGUGCAUCUCCCGCUGUGCUCAGUGCAAGAGGACUGAUAAGAACGAAUUUAGUAAUUACUGCUGCAGGUAUCUUAUUAAAGCGAGAGACUCACUUUCAACCUAAUUGCUCAGACUGUAGGGUUUUUUACAUGCAGAAUGUGGGUCUUUCAGAGCAAACACCACUGUGAUGUAGCUUAGUUCCCACUUAAAAGGCUACUUAUGCUUGCUAUAAUUGGCUGGGAUUAGCUACAUCACCCAUUCCAAAUGAUUU
This is a non-coding RNA of Podarcis lilfordi (Lilford's wall lizard), 2981 nucleotides long. The record is from the annotation of a GenBank genome assembly. Lineage: Eukaryota; Metazoa; Chordata; Lepidosauria; Squamata; Lacertidae.